UACGAAGGGGGCUAGCGUUGUUCGGAAUUACUGGGCGUAAAGGGCGCGUAGGCGGCCCUCCAAGUCAGAUGUGAAAGCCCCGGGCUUAACCUGGGAAUAGCAUUUGAGACUGAAGGGCUUGAGUUUCGGAGAGGUGGGUGGAAUUCCCAGUGUAGAGGUGAAAUUCGUAGAUAUUGGGAAGAACACCGGUGGCGAAGGCGGCCCACUGGACGAACACUGACGCUGAGGCGCGAAAGCGUGGGGAGCAAACAGG
Molecule: ribosomal RNA, 253 nt
Filed under: uncultured bacterium
Lineage: Bacteria
Description: partial 16S ribosomal RNA
Rfam family: Bacterial small subunit ribosomal RNA
Source: RNAcentral